RNAcentral lists this ribosomal RNA (450 nucleotides) under uncultured bacterium. RNAcentral describes it as "partial 16S ribosomal RNA". It matches the Rfam family "Bacterial small subunit ribosomal RNA", at positions 338 to 795 of the family's 1533-position model. The record is from RNAcentral.
CCUACGGGCGGCUGCAGUAAGGAAUAUUGGUCAAUGGACGCAAGUCUGAACCAGCCAUGCCGCGUGGAGGAUGAAGGUCCUCUGGAUUGUAAACUUCUUUUAUUUGGGAAGAAACUCCCGAUUUCCAUCGGGAUUGACGGUCCCAGAUGAAUAAGCACCGGCUAACUCCGUGCCAGCAGCCGAGGUAAUACGGAGGGUGCAAGCUUCAUCCGGAUUAAAGGGUUUUAAGGUGGGCAUGGAAGUCCGUGGUGAAAUCUCCGGGCUUAACCCGGAAACUGCCAUUGAUACUAUGUGUCUUGAAUACUCUGGAGGUGAGCGGAAUAUGUCAUGUAGCGGUGAAAUGCUUAGAUAUGACAUAGAACACCCAUUGCGAAGGCAGCUCACUACGGAAAUAUUGACGCUGAGGCACGAAAGCGUGGGGAUCAAACAGGAUUAGAUACCCUGGUAGUC